RNAcentral lists this ribosomal RNA (511 nucleotides) under uncultured bacterium. RNAcentral describes it as "bacterial SSU rRNA". It matches the Rfam family "Bacterial small subunit ribosomal RNA", at positions 28 to 526 of the family's 1533-position model. The record is from RNAcentral.
GACGAACGCUGGCGGCGCGCUUAACACAUGCAAGUCGAGCGAGAACCGAGGCUUCGGCCUCGGGGACAGCGGCGAACGGGUGAGUAACACGUGGGUAAUCUGCCCUCGGCACCGGAAUAGCCCGGGGAAACCCGGAUUAAUGCCGGAUGGCCCGACCACCUCGCGAGGUGAUCGGGAAAGGUAGCUUAGGCCUCCGGCCGAGGAUGAGCCCGCGGCGGAUUAGCUUGUUGGUGGGGUAAUGGCCCACCAAGGCGACGAUCCGUAGCUGGUCUGAGAGGACGAUCAGCCACACUGGGACUGAGACACGGCCCAGACUCCUACGGGAGGCAGCAGUGGGGAAUCUUGCGCAAUGGGCGAAAGCCUGACGCAGCGACGCCGCGUGCGGGAAGAAGGCCUUCGGGUUGUAAACCGCUUUCAGGAGGGACGAAGCCACUCGGGUUAAUAGCCCAGAGGGUGACGGUACCUCCAGAAGAAGCCCCGGCUAACUACGUGCCAGCCGCCGCAGUAACAC